This is a long non-coding RNA of Neoarius graeffei (lesser salmon catfish), 201 nucleotides long. RefSeq lists it as uncharacterized. The transcript is spliced from 3 exons. The record is from RefSeq and is a predicted model, not a curated record. Lineage: Eukaryota; Metazoa; Chordata; Actinopteri; Siluriformes; Ariidae.
UCCAGAGGAAACACGCCGCUUGAUUCGCUUUCGAGCUGAGAAUGAGCAGCGAUUUCUGAAAUCCAAAGCUGCUGCUAAAAAGCUUUGGGAGACGCUGAUCAAGGAGCUUGGCCUGGAGGGAAAGGUGACCUCCCAGCAAGCAUCAAAAAAGUGGGAGAACUUGAAAAAGAAGUAUAAGGAGCUGAAAAAUCCACUCUCUGG